AGACGUCACACAUUAGAUACCCGCGUAGUCCCAGCCCUAAACGAUGCGCGUUAGGUGUAUCGGUGACCACGAGUCACCGAGGUGCCGAAGGGAAACCGUGAAACGUGCCGCCUGGGAAGUACGGUCGCAAGGCUAGAAACUUAAAGGAAUUGGCGGGGAGCACCACAACGGGUGGAGCCUGCGGUUUAAUUGGACUCAACGCCGGGAAGCUCACCGGAUAAGACAGCGGAAUGAUUGCCGGGCUGAAGACCCUGCAUGACCAGCUG
Molecule: ribosomal RNA, 266 nt
Filed under: uncultured archaeon
Lineage: Archaea
Description: partial 16S ribosomal RNA
Rfam family: Archaeal small subunit ribosomal RNA
Source: RNAcentral